UACAGGGGGUGCAAACGUUGCUCGGAAUCAUUGGGCGUAAAGCGCACGUAGGCGGUCUGUUAUGUCGCAUGUGAAAGCCCUUGGCUUAACUGAGGAAGUGCAUCCGAAACUGGCAGGCUAGAGUACUAAAGAGGGUCGCGGAAUUCCCGGUGUAGAGGUGAAAUUCGUAGAUAUCGGGAGGAACACCGGUGGCGAAGGCGGCGACCUGGGUAGAUACUGACGCUGAGGCGCGAAAGCUAGGGGAGCAAACGGG
This 253-nucleotide ribosomal RNA is filed under the name uncultured bacterium. Its description in RNAcentral is "partial 16S ribosomal RNA". It matches the Rfam family "Bacterial small subunit ribosomal RNA", at positions 524 to 776 of the family's 1533-position model. The record is from RNAcentral.